CCUCAGAAGACCGCUCGACGGCACAGGCGACUGGGAGCAAGUCUUGAAGAAUUCACUGCCUCCUCUGGAGUUCGUGGUUCUCGACGAUGGAAGAAUUGUGUUCUGUGAAACAUCCGGUGCCGUGUUGAUAUAUGAUCCUACUGAAAAAACAUACAGACAGCUGAAAGAGCCUACCGCUGGUGAUUGCUGUGGUUCAAUUAAAGUCAGCCCCUGUGAUGAUGACCUGAUCUACAUCGCAAACAAAAACGAUCCGGAUAUCGAGAUCUACAAUGCUACAUCACUUGAAUACGUUAGGUCAUUGACAUACACCACGUCGACUCCCUCUGCAUGCCCAUCUAUUGCUUGUGAUCCAACAUUGUGGUAUGAAUUGUUACAAUGUAUUAGUUACUGUUACACAUCCAGCAAGAACAACGACCAAGUAAUUAAC
Haliotis rufescens (red abalone) is the source of this 427-nucleotide long non-coding RNA. RefSeq lists it as uncharacterized. The record is from RefSeq and is a predicted model, not a curated record. Lineage: Eukaryota; Metazoa; Mollusca; Gastropoda; Lepetellida; Haliotidae. The transcript has 3 exons.